UAAAACCUGAAUAUAUAAAAAAAAUCACCCGGUUCAAAAGUUUACAUAUUGCCUAUUCUUAUAAUACUGUUUGAUGUACCUGGACAAUCAAUUAUAGUUUGUGUUGUCUGACUGUUGUCUAAGAGUUUUUGUUUAUGAGCCAUUUAACUUGUACACUGAUCUUCAGAGAAAUCCUCCAGGUCCUGCACAUGUUCUUUGAUGUUCAGUAUCUUCUGCAUGUCCGACCUCUGCCCUGCAGUAACUCUGAUGUUGAGUUGAUCUUUACACACUGACAUAUAAUAGUUGUGUAUGAGUGCUUGUUGUCAGUCUGUAAAAAUGAAUCUAACAUUGUAUAGUCACAGCUGGACAAACAUGCAGAAAGUGCUGAAAAUCAAAGACCAGGGAACAGUUUAAUGGAACAGGACAACUUUAAACCCUUAAACAACUAUCACAAAACCACACACACACUGUCAUCAUUUUUCCAGGUCUCACUGUACUUUAAGAAUCAGAUGUAUGACUUUUGACCACCAUACUAUAUCUCUUCAUAGGCCUGUCUGUAUGUUAUGUGCAGGGCAAAUUUCAAAGUAAACGUAAGGCAAGCUUGAUAAUAUUAAAAUCACCCUGUGUGAUAAGAGGAAGCCAAUCCAAUGCAGUCCGUAAAGGUUCAUUGACAGUAGAAGUUUAAACGGGGAUUCUGGGACGAAAGAUGAGAUGACAACCCAUGACAUGACUGACAUCACAACCAACGUAUCACUCAGAACUUCUACGUUUGCUUACGAACAUGCCAACGUACAAUUACGAUCUCAUUCGCGAACAAAUGUUACGUGUGACGUUUGCAUAGGUAUUUGAUUACCUAACAGCGCCUCAUCUCUCACGCAAAAAAUGGUCGUAUGAUGUUUAUAUACGUAUAUAGCAACGUGCCAUCGCAUCACAAAUGCAAAUAUAAUGUUAAAUAGAGCAACGCUAUUGGCUGGUGUACGGUCUGACGCGAACACCCGAGCUCAACAUUCGUAUUUACUCGUACAAAUUGAUCGUGUUGACGCGUCCAAAUUUCACGCGUUUCGCGUUAUACAUAUUGUCCCCGUUCGCGUUCCAUAAAAGGCCACUCAACGGUUUCAACGCGCAGGAGACGUGCAGCAGCUAAGCGCGCCAAAAUCGACGGUUCUGAGCUCGCGCAUGGUCUGUAGCAGGCUGCCAUUUACUGAGGUUGGUUUCUUCAGGUUGGACCAACGCUCUGCACUCACCAAGAAGGAUCCAAACAUGGCGAUUGACGACAGAAAGUGCCAGAUGUCAUGAUCAUCAAAGAACGACAGCAGGAUACAUUCGCGAUUGUGUUCACGAGACUCGGCUGGAGUUUUCUGGCGACACAGUUUGAUUGGGAUCAGUACACCUCCACACAGGAGAGAUGUCGACCGGGUGCAGAAGCCCCUCCCUCUUCCUGUUCAUCCUGAGAAUGAGAGAGACAUGAUUGGCUGUCACUUCGCAGGCAAUGGUUAUGUUUACAUGCACAACUGGCCAUCAGAAGUAUCUGCUUCUUACCUUCAUACAGAAACAACCUGAACGGCAAAUCAAUGGCAUCAUAUUUCAAUAUUCAUCACUUCGCCGAAUUAAGUACGUCCACAUGCCAGUGUUUUGCAUUUGACGCGAACAUAUUAAAACGAUGGAUAGUAACACACACUGACUGUCUGAGAUCAUCAUUUGUGCUCAUUAAACAUUCAUGUAAACAGGAGUCAAGAGGUUUGUUCAGGUCAUUUAACAUGUUCCUAAGAUUAAGUCUUUACUCUAAUUAUUGGAAAUAAUGGCACCGACAUUUAUCAAUCAUGAGGGGGAGGGGCUCUCUAUGGUGAUGGACAGUC
Molecule: long non-coding RNA, 1835 nt
Organism: Triplophysa dalaica
Lineage: Eukaryota; Metazoa; Chordata; Actinopteri; Cypriniformes; Nemacheilidae
Exons: 3
Source: RefSeq, a predicted model, not a curated record